AUGUUUUUUGCAAAAAACUCCCUGGAAUCUCCUCUCUCUCCCCCGAACGCUCUCCCCCUCCUCUGUCUCGAUCUCUCACACACACCCGACGCCACGUCAGCAGUUGACGCCGGCGAGCCCGAGCGGCGCGGAGGGCGUCGUCAUCUUCGGGGCCUCGGGCUUCACCGGCAAGUACGUCAUCCGCGAGGCGCUCAAGUUCCUCCCCCCAACGCCUCCCCGCUGCGCUCCCUCGCGCUCGCCGACCGCAGCUGGGACCGCGUCGCCGCCGCGCCGGGGCCCGCCCCCGACGUCCCCAUCCUCGUUGCCGACGCCUCCGACCCGGCCUCCCUCGCCGCGGUCGCCGCCCGGGCGCGCGUCCUGCUCUCCUGCGCGGGGCCCUUCCGCCUCCAUGGCCGCCAGGUGGCCGCGGCCUGCGCCGAGGCGGGGGCCGACUGCCUCGACAUCUCCGGCGAGCCCGAGUUCAUGGAGCGCGUCGAGGCCGACCUCCACGAGGUCGCCGCCAAGAACGGGUCGCUGAUUGUCUCCGCCUGCGGGUUUGACUCCAUCCCCGCGGAGCUCGGGUUCUUGUUCAACUCCAGGCAGUGGACGCCGCCCUCCGCGCCGCUCGGGCUCGCCGGCGUCAACUGCUGA
This 630-nucleotide ribosomal RNA is filed under the name Triticum aestivum (bread wheat). Its description in RNAcentral is "partial small subunit ribosomal RNA". Lineage: Eukaryota; Viridiplantae; Streptophyta; Magnoliopsida; Poales; Poaceae. The record is from RNAcentral.